CCCUUCCUGCUUCCAAACUUUAUUACACAGAUUCAGAAAAUGUUUAUUUUAUGCCAUCCCCAAGUCAAAGAAUGUAUUGCCAUGCUUCUCGGUGAUGAGUUAUUAAACAUAUUAAUGUUGCCAAGUCAAGUUUACUUACAGUUACAAUGACUUCACAAGUGACAAAUGCAUAUGCCAGAAUUAUAAGAAUCAAGAGUGAAUAGGGGAAAAAAACAAUGUUUAAAAUAUAGCUUUAUCAAAUGAGUUAAAUGAUUUAUUAGAUUUAUUCAACAGGCUAUCCUGUUAAAAUUUGAGUCUGUGUGUAAAAAUAUAAUCAGAAAGAACUAAAAAAACCAGGCCUAGCAAAUGACAUCAAUACAAAGGAUUUCUAAAAUCUUUAU
Molecule: long non-coding RNA, 380 nt
Filed under: Bos taurus (domestic cattle)
Lineage: Eukaryota; Metazoa; Chordata; Mammalia; Artiodactyla; Bovidae
Description: long non-coding RNA NONBTAT007028
Source: RNAcentral